This 627-nucleotide long non-coding RNA is filed under the name Capra hircus (goat). RNAcentral describes it as "lncRNA (ENSCHIG00000001577.1)". The record is from RNAcentral. Lineage: Eukaryota; Metazoa; Chordata; Mammalia; Artiodactyla; Bovidae.
GAAUUCCUCCAUUAAAGAAACUUGAAUUAUUUUAUUGAAUUUAUCUCAGAGUUUUCCAAAGUUACUUGACCAUGAAAACUUCUUUCCCAGACACCUGUCUGCGUGGAGUCUGCAGACCUCUGUUUGGAAAGAGGAACCAGAGGAAACUACUGACUGUCUUGAAGAAAUACCAUGGCUGGGUUUGGUAUUUCAGGAUUAUCUUCCUGGCUUCUGUGUGCAGUGUAUUCAGAAGCCUGGUGUGCAGUCAGCACUUACUCCAUUUUUGGAUGAAAGGAUGUUGUUUCCAGUCUUACAUUAGACCCUGAGGCUGAAGAAGAGAGAGGCAAACCCUAUUCUCCUGCAGUGAACAGACUGGCAAGCACUCUUGGCUCCCUCCUGGCUGUAGCACUGCAUUCCUGAGUCUGCAUGAUCUGCUUGAAGACACCUACAAGAUAAAGUACAUUCAUGUUUUCAUGUAAGCUGUGUACACACUAACACUGUUUGGUGUUUGAUGUUAAGUUUAAAAAAAGAGAGAAAGAGGACUAUGUGGUCUUUCAGGAGAGGCUGUGAGACUUUCCUUCAUUUCAUCCUGGAGAGAGUUUCCUGUGGAAAUGAAAGAGAAAAAGUCUCUGAUUGACUUGUUUGUGG